Herpailurus yagouaroundi (jaguarundi) is the source of this 724-nucleotide long non-coding RNA. RefSeq lists it as uncharacterized. NCBI's taxonomy places the organism in Eukaryota, Metazoa, Chordata, Mammalia, Carnivora, Felidae. The transcript has 2 exons. The record is from RefSeq and is a predicted model, not a curated record.
UGUGGCGGGGGAGGGGGUAGUCACAGUUCUGGCUGGAUGCUAGGAAGGGCCAUGCAACAAUGAACAUGCAUCUGUGUCCCCAUUGUAGAAACUUGAGAUCUGUCUGACCACUCAAACAGCAAGCAGGACAGGAACAAAAACAAAAACAAAAUGUAGCCUAAGAGCUCAAGUCUCAUGUGGAGCCAGCAAGGGUGGCAGAAUGACAAAAGUUCUGGAUGUGCCACACACACCCAGAAGAAAGGAGCCCAUCUGGGAGUGAGCAAGACUGAUUGGUUGACUUUGAGAGGGCCGGCCUGGACUUGAUUUUGAGGGAAAGGCCUCAGUACUGGGACUUUCUCUGGGAAGUGGGAUUCUCCCCUCUAAGUCCCCUUCAAACAACCUUCAGUGAAGCCCUGCCUUAUUUUAAAUUGACUUGGAGAGGCGUUUCUGCUCAUUGACUUGGAGAGGGGUUUUUCAGGAGACAAACAAGACUCUCAGAGAGUUUUAACAAAAUCAAAAGAAGAAGAAGGAGGAGGAAGAGGAGGAGGAGGAGGAGGAGAAGAAGAAGAAAAACAUUUCAGGACUUCUUGAAAUGCCCCACAAUAGGAAAAUCUUCGGCUUUGAACAAACACCAAAGGGGUCAGAGUGUGAAAAAGGUGAAGAACACAGAGUAUAAAAUAUUUAUUUACCAAGGUUAUUCUAGGAUGUAAUCCUUCAAUUUGUUCUAUACAACUGUCUUGCUGUU